UCAGGCUGAUGGUAGAGCCUGUGUAAGCGUCAAGGGAGUUAGAGUAGUGAAGUACGCUUUAACAAUUCAGAGGCGUGAUGCGGACAGAAAACAAGUAUGGAAGCGAUCGAAUCCACACUGGCGAGAAAAGCUGCUACUAAGCGAAGAGGUGCCCGUACCGCAAACCGACACAGGUAGGUGAGGAGAGAAUCCUAAGAUGAGCGGGAUAACCCUUGUUAAGGAACUCGGCAAAAUGACUCCGUAACUUAGGGAAAAGGAGUGCCUCGAAAGAGGUCGCAGAGAAUAGGCCCAAGCGACUGUUUAUCAAAAACAUAGGUCUGUGCAAAAUCGAGAGAUGAAGUAUACGGGCUGACGCCUGCCCAGUGCCGGAAGGUUAAGGGGAACUGUUAGCGCAAGCGAAGCAGGGAACUUAAGCCCCGGUGAACGGCGGCCGUAACAAUAACGGUCCUAAGGUAGCGAAAUUCCUUGUCAGGUAAGUUCUGACCCGCACGAAUGGCGUAACGAUUUGGGCGCUGUCUCAACAAGGGACCCGGCGAAAUUGUAGUAUGGGUGAAGAUGCCCAUUACCCGCGAUAGGACGGAAAGACCCCGUAGAGCUUUACUGCAGCUUGGCAUUGGAUUUUGAAAUGAGAUGUACAGGAUAGGUGGGAGACUAAGAAAUGCGGACGCCAGUACGCACGGAGUCGACCUUGGGAUACCACUCUUCUUAUUUCGGGAUUCUAACGAUGUGCCGUAAACCGGGCAUCGGACAGUACCAGGCAGGCAGUUUGACUGGGGCGGUCGCCUCCGAAAGAGUAACGGAGGCGCCCAAAGGUCUCCUCAGCAUGGUCGGAAAUCAUGCAUUAGAGUGUAAAGGCAUAAGGAGGCUUGACUGCGAGAGAGACAUCUCGAGCAGGUACGAAAGUAGGGCUUAGUGAUCCGGCGGUAGAGAGUGGAAUUGCCGUCGCUCAACGGAUAAAAGCUACCUCGGGGAUAACAGGCUUAUCUCCCCCAAGAGUCCACACCGACGGGGAGGUUUGGCACCUCGAUGUCGGCUCGUCGCAUCCUGGGGCUGAAUUCGGUCCCAAGGGUUUGGCUGUUCGCCAAUUAAAGCGGCACGCGAGCUGGGUUCAGAACGUCGUGAGACAGUUCGGUCCCUAUCCAUCGUGGGCGUAGGAAGUUUGAGAGGAGCUGUCCCUAGUACGAGAGGACCGGGAUGGACGCACCACUGGUGUACCGGUUGUUCUGCCAAGAGCACCGCCGGGUAGCUAAGUGCGGACGGGAUAAACGCUGAAGGCAUCUAAGCGUGAAGCCCCCCCCAAGAUAAGACUUCCCAUUCUUUAAGAAGUAAGACCCCUUGUAGACUACAAGGUUGAUAGGUCACAGGUGGAAGUGCAGUAAUGUAUGCAGCUGAGUGAUACUAAUAGGUCGAGGGCUUGAUUA
This 1421-nucleotide ribosomal RNA is filed under the name metagenome. RNAcentral describes it as "bacterial LSU rRNA". It matches the Rfam family "Bacterial large subunit ribosomal RNA", at positions 1490 to 2925 of the family's 2925-position model. The record is from RNAcentral.